This 1392-nucleotide ribosomal RNA is filed under the name uncultured bacterium. RNAcentral's name for it is "bacterial SSU rRNA". It matches the Rfam family "Bacterial small subunit ribosomal RNA". The record is from RNAcentral.
GAAUUCGCCCUUAGAGUUUGAUCCUGGCUCAGGACGAACGCUGGCGGCGCGCCUAACACAUGCAAGUCGAACGGAGCUGAGAGGAGCUUGCUUUUCUUAGCUUAGUGGCGAACGGGUGAGUAACGCGUGAGUAACCUGCCCUGGAGUGGGGGACAACAGUUGGAAACGACUGCUAAUACCGCAUAAGCCCACGGCCCGGCAUCGGGCUGCGGGAAAAGGAUUUAUUCGCUUCAGGAUGGACUCGCGUCCAAUUAGCUAGUUGGUGAGGUAACGGCCCACCAAGGCGACGAUUGGUAGCCGGACUGAGAGGUUGAACGGCCACAUUGGGACUGAGACACGGCCCAGACUCCUACGGGAGGCAGCAGUGGGGGAUAUUGCACAAUGGGGGAAACCCUGAUGCAGCGACGCCGCGUGGAGGAAGAAGGUUUUCGGAUUGUAAACUCCUGUCGUUAGGGACGAUAAUGACGGUACCUAACAAGAAAGCACCGGCUAACUACGUGCCAGCAGCCGCGGUAAAACGUAGGGUGCAAGCGUUGUCCGGAAUUACUGGGUGUAAAGGGAGCGUAGGCGGGAAGACAAGUUGGAAGUGAAAUCCAUGGGCUCAACCCAUGAACUGCUUUCAAAACUGUUUUUCUUGAGUAGUGCAGAGGUAGGCGGAAUUCCCGGUGUAGCGGUGGAAUGCGUAGAUAUCGGGAGGAACACCAGUGGCGAAUGGCGGCCUACUGGGCACCAACUGACGCUGAGGCUCGAAAGUGUGGGUAGCAAAACAGGAUUAGAUACCUCUGGUAGUCCACACCGUAAACGAUGAUUAUUAGGUGUUGGAGGAUUGACCCCCUCAGUGCCGCAGUUAACACAAUAAGUAAUCCACCUGGGGAGUACGACCGCAAGGUUGAAACUCAAAGGAAUUGACGGGGGCCCGCACAAGCGGAGGAACAUGUGGUUUAAUUCGAUGAUACGCGAGGAACCUUACCCGGGCUUAAAUUGCAGAUGAAUUACGGUGAAAGCCGUAAGCCGCAAGGCAUCUGUGAAGGUGCUGCAUGGUUGUCGUCAGCUCGUGCCGUGAGGUGUCGGCUUAAGUGCCAUAACGAGCGCAACCCUUGUUGUCAGUUACUAACAGGUUCCGCUGAGGACUCUGACAAGACUGCCAUCGUAAGAUGUGAGGAAGGUGGGGAUGACGUCAAAUCAGCACGGCCCUUACGUCCGGGGCUACACACGUGUUACAAUGGGGGGUACAGAGGGCCGCUACCACGCGAGUGGAUGCCAAUCCCCAAAACCUCUCUCAGUUCGGACUGGAGUCUGCAACCCGACUCCACGAAGCUGGAUUCGCUAGUAAUCGCGCAUCAGCCACGGCGCGGUGAAUACGUUCCCGGGCCUUGCACUCACCGCCCGUCA